This 292-nucleotide ribosomal RNA is filed under the name uncultured bacterium. Its description in RNAcentral is "partial 16S ribosomal RNA". It matches the Rfam family "Bacterial small subunit ribosomal RNA", at positions 505 to 796 of the family's 1533-position model. The record is from RNAcentral.
GUGUCAGCCGCCGCGGUAAUACGAAGGGUGCAAGCGUUGUUCGGAAUCAUUGGGCGUAAAGCGCGCGCAGGCGGAUUGAUAAGUCAGGUGUGAAAUCUCGGAGCUCAACUCCGAAACUGCGCCUGAAACUAUUAGUCUAGAAUGUCGGAGGGGGCAGGGGAAUUUCACGUGUAGGGGUAAAAUCCGUAGAGAUGUGAAGGAACACCGGAGGCGAAGGCGCCUGCCUGGACGACUAUUGACGCUGAGGCGCGAAAGCGUGGGGAGCAAACAGGAUUAGAUACCCCCGUAGUCC